AACUCUGUAUGUCAUAGAGGCCUCAUUGCCCUGGCCAGUAGCACCAUCAGGCACCUUACAGAAGCUCACUGCGCCGAUGGGGCCUUCUCAGCUUGUCCGUGCCCCUCGGUCCCGGGGCUUAAGUUCCCCCUACCGUAGGCCAGGCGUGGGUUGGCCUCGGCCCCGCUUUCCCAAGAUGUUCAAGUGUAGCCGCAGAAGGUACCGGCAGAAACGGCAAGGCCCAGCUGGCACCACUGUAACCAUCAAUCUUGCCACUGUGGCCACGGAUAUCAACGACACCCAAACUGCCACCACCAGGGUGUUGAUCCUUCCACCGCAAGUUCUCAGACACCUCUGUCAACCUGGCAGCUUUCUGAUCCUCUAGAAACAUCCAGAAACUAGUCCAGAAGCUUGGCUGGCUGCGGACCUUCAUCUCUUCAGGGGCACGGGCAGUGAACAGCAGACAAAUACAGUCCUUUCUGCUCCAACUA
Odocoileus virginianus texanus is the source of this 470-nucleotide non-coding RNA. The record is from RefSeq and is a predicted model, not a curated record. Lineage: Eukaryota; Metazoa; Chordata; Mammalia; Artiodactyla; Cervidae.